This 795-nucleotide ribosomal RNA is filed under the name Triticum aestivum (bread wheat). RNAcentral describes it as "partial small subunit ribosomal RNA". Lineage: Eukaryota; Viridiplantae; Streptophyta; Magnoliopsida; Poales; Poaceae. The record is from RNAcentral.
AUGCUGAUGACGCUGCGGCACCCCAACCUGGUGUCCCUCGUCGGCUACUGCGCGCAGGCCCAGGAGCGGCUGCUCGUCUACGAGCUCCUCCCCCGCGGCAGCCUCGACGCCCACCUCUUCCUCCCUCUCCCCGCCAAUGGCGACCUCUCCGCCCAAGCCCAAGGCAAUGGUGACCGGCCGGCGCUGGAGUGGAACACGCGCGUGAGGAUCGCGCACGGCGCGGCCAGGGCGCUGCGGUACCUGCACGAGGCGGUGUCGCCGCCGGUGAUCUACCGCGACCUGAAGCCGUCCAACAUCCUCCUGGCCGACGACUUCACCGCCAAGCUGUCCGACCUGGGGCUGGCCCGGAUCGGGCCCUCCGGCGACGACACCCACGUGUCCACGCGCGUGAUGGGCACCUUGGGCUACUGCGCGCCCGACUACGCGCUCACCGGCCGCCUCACCGUCAAGUCCGACGUCUACAGCUUCGGCGUGGUGCUCCUGGAGCUCAUCACCGGCCGCAGGGCCUUCGACGCCGAGGCCGGCGACGAGAGGCGCCUCCUGGACUGGGCCAGGCCCUACCUCGCGGACGUGCGCAAGAUGUACGGCCGGCUGGCCGACCCGGCGCUGCGCGGCCGCUUCCCUCGGCGCGCGCUCUACCAGCUGGCCGUCGUCGCCUCGCUCUGCCUCCACGACAGGCCCAACCUCCGGCCGACCAUGUCGGACGUCACCCGGGCCAUCGACCACGUGGCAUCGCAGCCCUGGCAACCCGGCGCCGGUGCAGCCCAUCAUCGUGCCAAAUCGUGCCAAAUAUGA